AUACAGAGGGUGCGAGCGUUAAUCGGAUUUACUGGGCGUAAAGCGCGCGUAGGCGGCCAGAUAAGUCGGAUGUGAAAGCCCCGGGCUCAACCUGGGAAUUGCAUUCGAUACUGUCUGGCUAGAGUAUGGUAGAGGGAAGUGGAAUUCCACAUGUAGCGGUGAAAUGCGUAGAUAUGUGGAGGAACACCAGUGGCGAAGGCGGCUUCCUGGCCCAAUACUGACGCUGAGGCGCGAAAGCGUGGGGAGCAAACAGGAUUAGAAACCCCAGUAGUCC
This 274-nucleotide ribosomal RNA is filed under the name uncultured bacterium. RNAcentral's name for it is "partial 16S ribosomal RNA". It matches the Rfam family "Bacterial small subunit ribosomal RNA", at positions 523 to 796 of the family's 1533-position model. The record is from RNAcentral.